RNAcentral lists this ribosomal RNA (447 nucleotides) under Triticum aestivum (bread wheat). Its description in RNAcentral is "partial small subunit ribosomal RNA". Lineage: Eukaryota; Viridiplantae; Streptophyta; Magnoliopsida; Poales; Poaceae. The record is from RNAcentral.
AUGUUGACAUCUGUGGUGGCGUCUCCCCCUUACCGAUCGUGCCGGCACCUCUGCUGCUCGUCGAAGAUGAAACAGCCAGCGGCAGCCCUAGCUCAAGCAGCACCGAUUCCAGCGACAGCGAUUCAGAUACUGAUUCCGACAGCAGUGACUCGGGUUCAGAGCACUCCGCUCGCCCGUGCUCUGGAAAGGCAGCGAAAGGAGGCCACGUCCCGGGCGAGGGAGAAGGCCCGUCAGGAGGUGCUCCAGACGGAGAGGAUGGCAAUGCCCGAUGAUACCCUACACCCAGAGGACCUCAAGACGCUGGGCAUUGAUGAGUACAACACGGCGAGGCCCAACAACUUGUUGCGGCAGAUUGGACUCUACCUCAAGCUUGACGACGACCGGAAGCAUCAUCAUCAUCAUCAAAUCUUCGAAGAAGACCUAGAGGAAGGGGAGAUUAGAUCGUGA